GAAAAAAGUAGAAAAUUAACCAAUACAUAGUGAGGCAAAACUUACGACAGCUUGGAAAAAUUCAGUGACACUUCCCAACUCCAUCAAUUUCAUCAAUCAGGUUAGAGUAAUCUUUAACACCAUCAAUAACCAUCUCAUCAUAUGAACGGAAAGAAACUUGAUUUUCUUCUAGCAACAUUAUCCUAUAAAAUUGGAAACAAUAAAAAUUACGUACGGAAAGCAAAUGUGCUAAGCUACAAUAGUUAUCUAGCAACACAAGGUGAGUACAUGAUUUAUAUGAAAUGUGCUUCCACAUAUGGAAUAUCAUUUAUCAAUAUGAAUAACAUAUCUAAAUGCACACGGAUGGAUAUACUUUCCACGCUCACAAAAAUCAUUUUUCUCCCGGACACCUUAAAUAAAAUAGACACAAGCAACAAAUAACAUAAAACCUCUUUUCCCGAAAUUUCUCGUAUGAUCUUCCAACUACAUGAUCUACAUUAUCCAGUUAUCAUCUAAGUACAUAAUAAUCAAUGAUCAUAAAGCAGUAAUACUUUUACAACAAUUCCAAAAUAAAAGGAAGCUAAGAGAUGAUAAAUAUUCACCUUUUGAUAAAAUAAUUCAAUUUUACUCUGCAAUCCAGGAGAACAAGUUUAACAUCCAAAUAGCAUUUGCAUCAUGGAAAACUUUUAAUUUUAACUUGAUGGCUUAUCAAUACAGUAAUAUCAAUUUUCAAAAUAUCAACAAAUAAUUGGACAUCUUUCACAUUUUUUAACAGUUGAACUCCCCGGAAAUACAAUUUGGUAAUAAAAAUCCCCAGGGAAUUGCCAAAUUGAAGGCAGUUCUUACCAUAUCCAAA
Molecule: long non-coding RNA, 835 nt
Filed under: Olea europaea subsp. europaea
Lineage: Eukaryota; Viridiplantae; Streptophyta; Magnoliopsida; Lamiales; Oleaceae
Source: RNAcentral